RNAcentral lists this microRNA precursor (96 nucleotides) under Marmota monax (woodchuck). The record is from RNAcentral. Lineage: Eukaryota; Metazoa; Chordata; Mammalia; Rodentia; Sciuridae.
ACACAAAUCACCUGGAGAUCUUACAAGUAUACGGAUCUGUUAGGUGGGUGAGGCAUGAGAGUCUGAAUUUCUAACAAGUUCUCAGGUGACAUUGAU